UGGUUGGAUGGCAUCACCAACUCGAUGGACAUGAGUCUGAGCAAGCUCCAAGGGUUUUGAUGGACAGGGAAGCCUGGUGUGCUGCAGUGCAUGGGGCUGCAAAGAGUCGGACACAACUGAGCAACUGAACUGAACCCAAGUUAGGCAUUAAGUGUGGGCAUAAACACUUCAGCAGAUGCCACUCUCCUUUAUGGUUUCACUUUCCUUUCUAAGCCGGGAAAGUUGGCUGCUGAAAAGAAUUGAAGAGAGAAUAAGAACUAAGUCUUUCCUGAGGGGCAGGAAAGGAAAUGGGCUUUCCUUCUUUCUCAAGGGAAAUGCUGAGAGAAGACAGAGAGUCUGCAAUAGAAAGGCAAACUGGACACAGAAAAGACAGCAAUCUCAUGCUUCCAAUUAAUUUAGGAGGACUUCAGAUGAGUCUUCAGGAGGUAGUGAAAUCCAUGGCCAUGCCUGGGCCUAACUUGUUUGGAUGCUGUUGGUUGAUCAAACACACCAAUUACCAGGAUGAAAACUCCAACCCCCUCCCUCACAACCUCCGACAGAACUCUAAAUGCAUAAGACCUGUCAGUUAUAUCAAGACCUACAGAUUAUCACCAGCUCCCAUUUUGCUUACCUGAGCUCACCACCACAUUUGGUUUUGCUCGGGUUCAUACAGAGUAGGAGAGUGAAGGAGGAACUACUUUUCAAGUUCUUCUAUGGCAAAACAAUGCACUCAAUUUUUUUGUAAAUAUGAUCCUUAAUAAGAUCCAUGAAUUAAUCUAUAAAUGAGAUCCUUCAUGAAAUCCAUAACAUAAAUCAAACCCGUAGCUGGAACUUCCCCUACCUUCCUUUUUGGUGUACUUAGCUAUGCAAACCUUUUAAGUUGGAAAACUGCUGUCAGAAUGUAAUUGCUGACCAAGGUAAAUGCCAGCUGUGCUCAGAUGGUACUGAAAACUAUCAACGUACAAUUUACACUUUGUCUCAGCUACUUUUCUCAACCAAAAUUUAGACUUCCUAGUUCGACAAGGAUGCGUUUUUAUUUGUGAAAAGACUUAAAGGAUUUUAAAAUAAAAUUUUAUUUAGUUACCUAUUUAAUGGACUGAUCUCCCCCCUCAAGGAAUUAUAUGGAAUUGUCAUUGGACUAUCGUAGAAAAUAUGUGAUAUCCUAAGUAUGCUUCCGCAGGAAACUGAUCCUCUCGUGUGGCUUCAAAUAGCAGGUGCUCUGCAAAUACACUGUCACACUUGAGAUGGAUAAGGAUCCUAUGUUUUCUGGUCGUUCAAAAUCACCAUCAGGCUGAGCUGCUCUAGAGGAAUGGGAAGGAAGCCAUAACUGUGUGAACUCAGUUGCUGUGGGAAGCAGCCCCUCCUCUUCCUAAGUCGAGACAUAAGACAUCUACAUGCCUGAAGAUGAAUGACAAAACUGUACAGGUUCUACUUGGACUUCCACCCUAUAUUCUCAAUUUUCCACCCUAUAUUCUCAAUUUCUAGAACAUUCUUGGGCACACAGAAUGUACUCAAUAAUUUCUUAACUGCCAAGUGAAUGAAUAAAUGAAUGAAUGAUUUGUUUACUGUUUCCUGACAAAAAAUUAAAAUGCUUUGACUCCAAGCACAAUAACCUCCAUUUUUUCUAGAGUUAUGAGAGAUUUGCAGUGUUCUUAGCCUGAAAGAGAAGAAUCCAAGUAUUCA
This 1662-nucleotide long non-coding RNA is filed under the name Capra hircus (goat). RNAcentral's name for it is "lncRNA (ENSCHIG00010004360.1)". Lineage: Eukaryota; Metazoa; Chordata; Mammalia; Artiodactyla; Bovidae. The record is from RNAcentral.